RNAcentral lists this long non-coding RNA (903 nucleotides) under Triticum aestivum (bread wheat). Its description in RNAcentral is "long non-coding RNA (TAES_LNC017138)". The record is from RNAcentral. Lineage: Eukaryota; Viridiplantae; Streptophyta; Magnoliopsida; Poales; Poaceae.
UCGUAGUUCCUGUCCGCGAGACCGAUCCUCGCCCAGGCCUAAUUUUGGGGGUUCUCUAUGUGCUCGGAUUCUGUAUGCGCUCGUGGUGCGCGCAAACUGUUGGCCUGUGGGGGAUGAAACUGGCCGCUAAUCCUCGCAUAUCCUAGUUUCUGCCUGUAGUGUUAUGGUCGCUGAGUUUCCUCGUUCCGUAGAUGAAAUGGAGGGGAGGGUUUUAGACUGAAAUGCUAUGCUGCUGAAUUGGAGUGCCCAUCUUGUGAUGUAUGUAUAAUGUUGCCCUGUUGUGUGUCUCUUGUGUGCUGCAUUGUUGCCCCAUUUGCUGUUCUCUUUUACUUAUCAGAAGAAUCAAAUCUGUGAGGAUAAAUAGUACUCCCUCCGUCCCAAAAUUCUUGUCUUAGAUUUGUCUACAUACGGAUGUAUCGAUGUAUCUAUUCAAAUUUUAGUGUUAGAUACAUCCGUUUUGGGAAUAUUCUAGUUUGGGAAUUUUAGUGUCUACCCCAGGCCUCGAAUUUUGGGAAUCUCUCUAUGCGCUUGUGGUGCCCGCAAGAUGUUGGCCUGUGGGGGAUGAAACUGAUCACUAAUCCUCACAUAUCCUAGUUUCUGCAUGUAGUGUUACGGCCACCGAGUUUCGUCUUGUUCAGUAGAUGAAAUGGAGGGGAGGGUUUUAGACUGAAAUGCUAUGCUGCUGCCCUGCUGAAAUGGAGUGCCCAUGUUGUUAUAUAUGUAUAAAUGUUGCCCCGUUGUGUGCUGUUUUCUUUUUCUUAUCAGAGGAAUGAAAUCUGUCAGGAUAAAUACUACUGAACCACCCCCAGAAUUAAGCUAUUGAUCUGGGAAUGGAACUGGAUUAAUUCCCAGCUAGAUGCUAUGCUGGUGCCUUGAAAUGGAGAGCCAAUGCUUGCAAUUUGG